This 484-nucleotide ribosomal RNA is filed under the name uncultured bacterium. Its description in RNAcentral is "partial 16S ribosomal RNA". It matches the Rfam family "Bacterial small subunit ribosomal RNA", at positions 30 to 507 of the family's 1533-position model. The record is from RNAcentral.
AUUGGACGCUGGCGGCAGGCCUAACACAUGCAAGUCGAGCGGAUGAAGGGAGCUUGCUCCUGGAUUCAGCGGCGGACGGGUGAGUAAUGCCUAGGAAUCUGCCUGGUAGUGGGGGAUAACGUCCGGAAACGGGCGCUAAUACCGCAUACGUCCUGAGGGCGAAAGUGUGGGAUCUUCGGACCUCACGCUAUCAGAUGAGCCUAGGUCGGAUUAGCUAGUUGGUGGGGUAAAGGCCUACCAAGGCGACGAUCCGUAACUGGUCUGAGAGGAUGAUCAGUCACACUGGAACUGAGACACGGUCCAGACUCCUACGGGAGGCAGCAGUGGGGAAUAUUGGACAAUGGGCGCAAGCCUGAUCCAGCCAUGCCGCGUGUGUGAAGAAGGUCUUCGGAUUGUAAAGCACUUUAAGUUGGGAGGAAGGGCAGUAAGUUAAUACCUUGCUGUUUUGACGGUACCAACAGAAUAAGCACCGGCUAACUUCGUG